RNAcentral lists this ribosomal RNA (151 nucleotides) under Heterodermia flabellata. Its description in RNAcentral is "5.8S ribosomal RNA". It matches the Rfam family "5.8S ribosomal RNA". Rfam says of the family: 5.8S ribosomal RNA (5.8S rRNA) is a component of the large subunit of the eukaryotic ribosome. It is transcribed by RNA polymerase I as part of the 45S precursor that also contains 18S and 28S rRNA. The record is from RNAcentral. Lineage: Eukaryota; Fungi; Ascomycota; Lecanoromycetes; Caliciales; Physciaceae.
AACUUUCAACAACGGAUCUCUUGGUUCUGGCAUCGAUGAAGAACGCAGCGAAAUGCGAUAAGUAAUGUGAAUUGCAGAAUUCCGUGAAUCAUCGAAUCUUUGAACGCACAUUGCGCCCUUUGGUAUUCCGAAGGGCAUGCCUGUUCGAGCG